CAGAAGCCAACGAGAUGUCUAAGAAGUGGAAGAGGGCAACUACAAAGGAAGGAAGUGGAAGCCGGAGCCCGGCACGGAACGCCUCUUGAUCUAAACAAAAACGACCGGAUGGAGGAGUGCUAUCCCGGUCAGAAGGGCUAGGCAGCUCCAGGUCGUACUCUGGAGGAACUCCAUACUGAACCCUUAUCAGAAGGAGUUCCUCCGGAGUCAGAGAAUAUGGAAUGGCGCCCGGUGCAAAAAUUGGGCAGAGCCCAGCCCCAGAUGUGGGUUCGUCUACAGAGCAGGGGACCUGGGGGUUUGAGACGAAGGAACUCCCGGAACUGCAGGGAGCGGAAGAGCCGGACGACAUUUUGAGUAGCUUCGAAUGUGGGCUCCAAAGAUCCCGAAGAAGAUGGACAGGAUGAAGGGCGAGGGGUCACAGGAAACUAACUCAGAGGAAUACAAAAACAAUGACAAAGAAGAAGUCCCUAAGCGGUGGG
This 479-nucleotide long non-coding RNA is filed under the name Elaeis guineensis (African oil palm). RNAcentral's name for it is "long non-coding RNA (EGUI_LNC082858)". Lineage: Eukaryota; Viridiplantae; Streptophyta; Magnoliopsida; Arecales; Arecaceae. The record is from RNAcentral.